This 578-nucleotide long non-coding RNA is filed under the name Mus musculus (house mouse). RNAcentral describes it as "predicted gene 16079". Lineage: Eukaryota; Metazoa; Chordata; Mammalia; Rodentia; Muridae. The record is from RNAcentral.
GGCAAGGUGGCUUGGCAGGUAAAGGCUCUUGCCAUGAAAGGUUGACGGCCUUCGAGCGAGAGUUCAAUCCCCGGAACCGCCAUGAAAAUGGAUAGAGUUGACUCCACAAAGCCGUCCUCUGACCCCUGCAGCGGCUUCACCACACACAUUGUUUCUGGAGAAGUGGUGUGCACACUUAGGUGCUAGAGGCAGGAGGAUUGCCCCAAGUUUGAGGCCACCCUGGCCUGCACAAUGAGUUCCAGGCGAGCCAGAGACACUGGCUCCAAAUAAACAAACAAGUGAACAAAGAAACAAAACUCAACACGGGCCCACUGAGGAGGAUCAGCAGUAUAGCUGACUUCCCGCCCGUCUGAUCUCGAGACAGAAGGAAAACAACAGUGUAUUCUGUGCUUGGAUCCUGCACACAUUUGGUUUUCCAUGGCCUCCCUCAUGGGCUAGGACCUACCAUCUUGGCUGGAAGAUAGAGUCUCACAAUACGGCUCUGGCUGGCCCAGAACUCUCUAUGUAAACCAGACCAGCUGGCCUCAAGUUCACAGAAAUGUCUCCAUCUCGAAGUGCUGGGAUUAAAGGUAUGCGCC